GUAAAUAAAAUUGAGAAUGGAAAUGGGGAAUAUGCCAAAGAGACAACAACCCGACCAUAGAAAAAAACAACAGCAGAAGGUCACCAACAGGUCUUCAAUGUAGCGAGAAAUUCCCGCACCCGGAGGCGUCCUUUAGCUGGCCCCUAAACAAAUAUAUGCUAGUUCAGUGAUAAUGAACGCCAUACUAAUUUCCAAAUUGUACACAAGAAACUAAAAUUAAAAAUAAUACAAGACUAACAAAGGCCAGAGGCUCCUGACUUGGGACAGGCGCAAAAAUGCGGCGGGGUUAAACAUGUUUGUGAGAUCUCAACCCUCCCCCUAUACCUCUAGCCAAUGUAGAAAAGUAAACGCAUAACAAUACGCACAUUAAAAUUCAGUUCAAGAGAAGUCCGAGUCUGAUGUCAGAAGAUGUAACCAAAGAAAAUAAACAAAAUGACAAUAAUCCAUAAAUAACAACAGACUACUAGCAGUUAACUGACAUGCCAGCUCCAGACUUCAAUUAAACUGACUGAAAGAUUAUGAUUUCAUCAUAUGAACAUCAGGCACAAUCCUUCCCGUUAGGGGUUUAGUAUCAUACCAUCAUAACAUAUAUGAGAAGAUCAUAACCCGUGUCAUG
RNAcentral lists this long non-coding RNA (616 nucleotides) under Mytilus galloprovincialis (Mediterranean mussel). Lineage: Eukaryota; Metazoa; Mollusca; Bivalvia; Mytilida; Mytilidae. The record is from RNAcentral.